UUCUCCACCACCGGGCGUACGCGUCGUCCAAGCCCAAGAAUAGAAUGAGGCGUCGCAGCAGGGGUUGUUUGUGGUCCACGUGAGCGAGGCGAGGGGCGGCCCGAGACAGUCGAUAGUGGCGUUGUCGUCAUUGUCCGCGAGGUAGAGGGUGGCGGCGCCGGUUGCAGGGAGGACGGGGGCACCGGCGGCUGGUGAACUCGGAGGCUGCGGCUGCGCGACAACGUCCGUGGUGGUGGUGACAACUACGGCGAUGCGACCAUGAUGCGGCAGGGUAUGGAGGCUUCCUCGCCUGGGCUCGGGCGCGUCAGCACGGCGUCGGGCCAUUGCCGGUGGCGUCGAGGCCGGCUCACGCACGGAUAGGGCGCCCAAGGGUGAGCCGCCGCGGCGUGUGGGCGGGCUGAGCCAGGCGUUCCACCAUGAUGCGGCGGGGAUGAAAGCCGCCUCGCCGGGGCUUGUGGGGCAGCACGGCGUCGGGCCGUUGAGCAGAUCUUCUCCAUCCUCGAGUCCAACUUCCUGUUUGGCGCACAGGCGCUGGAGCCGGCAGGGGCAUGCUCUGCGGGGCGCGCUCGCCGCGGCCGUGCUGGUAAGGCUCGAGCGCUGACUGCGGGAGCUGUCCGGGAACCCCGAGGCCCGCGUAGUGGACUAUUUCAAGCAGGGUCCGGCGCCGGAUGGUUCCUGGCGGCUGCGUUGUUCGCACGCCGGAUGCCGGCGGAGGCGGCGUGCGACGUCGUGGCCAAGAACCGCAAGGUGUUCUCCGGGCGCCACGGCCGCGGUGGGUUCUUCUCCGAGGCCGAUGCAGGUUUUGGAAUUGCUUGAAGUUGUACAGUUCAGAUGUCCAUACACUUCAAUGAAAUACCCUCAGCUGCUUUCCAAUCUGAGAGUUGAAUCAAAGAUGUCUCAAGAACUGCGCACACAAUUGAGCGAGUCUGAGAAAGGAGAGCUAAAAGGAUCGUUCCAUCAUAUGCUGAAAUGGGCCUGGAGAUAUAAUAAAUAUCUUGAAGAACAGGCAGCCCAGCUUCACAUGUUAACUAGCUGGUCGAAAAUUGUUGAACUAGGACAUUGUGGCGGCAACGGUGGGAUUUGGGUCGGCGAGCUGCAGGGAUUUGCUGGACGCGCGCCAUCACAUGUCGAGCCACACAUAGUGACCGAUGGUGGCGGAUUAGAGUUGGAAUCCAAGAGGUUUGUGUGGUUUCAGUUAUCCGGUGAUUGGGCAAGAGCGGAGCAACAGAGGCCGGCCAAGAACAAUGACCAGGGAUAACACAUCUUGCUCGAUUUCUCGAGCGACCCAAGAGCAAACAGAGUGAACAAACCAAGGACAUGCAGGUUAACUAUUUGAUGCCCUCGUUUUGGUAAUGAGAGCAAUGCAAUAUUCUGAAGGUCACACAUGUGAGGGAAACUGGCACGUGUCUAUCUCUUAAGCUAGAAACUGCAAUUUGUGUUCUGAGCUAUGAGCUCCAAAUAAAUUAGUUUUCUCUGUUCUUCAAGUUGUUAUCUUAUUUUAGGAUUGGCAUCACUAAUAAUGCGGAGGGGUUUUUCCGUUCAAUAAAAUAUUAAAUUCCAAAUUCGUUACCAGUUUCUAUAAGUAUUGUACUGUUUUGUUAGAUUGUUGUUUGCCAUUUAUAUUAAUUUCCAUUCUUACCCACUUCCUCUGAUUGUAGCUCUUUGUGUGAAUCGGUUAGUUCAUCACCAGUCAGGUUUUUUAAAAUUUCAGGUAAGUAAAUUGAUAUGCAAUGUACAAUCAAUUGAUGAAUUGAUAAUUUGGUGUAGCAUGGAGAUCGAUCUCAUUGGUACAUAUAUUCUUCAGUUGGAAUAAGGCAAUCUGUGUGUUGUCUAUAAUCUCACACUUGAGUUUUGAGCACUGUUCUCACCUUCUUUACUUGAUAAAAAAAUCAUUAUUCAACUUUGUUCUCUCAUGAUCACAUCGCAAGUUGUAUGGAUAUACUUUAAUAAUACAUUGCCCCAAAAGGUAAUUGGCUUUGACGUUCAUUCCAGAAGUUAACUCUUUCACCUCAUUUCCUUCAAAGGUUGAAUUUUCC
This 2036-nucleotide ribosomal RNA is filed under the name Triticum aestivum (bread wheat). RNAcentral describes it as "partial small subunit ribosomal RNA". The record is from RNAcentral. Lineage: Eukaryota; Viridiplantae; Streptophyta; Magnoliopsida; Poales; Poaceae.